CUACGGGGGGCACCAGUGGGGAAUCUUGCGCAAUGGGCGAAAGCCUGACGCAGCAACGCCGCGUGCGGGAUGAAGGCCUUCGGGUUGUAAACCGCUUUUACCAGGAACGAAAAUGACGGUACCUGGAGAAUAAGGUGCGGCCAACUACGUGCCAGCAGCCGCGGUGACACGUAGGCACCAAGCGUUGUCCGGAUUUAUUGGGCGUAAAGAGCUCGUAGGCGGUUCAGUAAGUCGGGUGUGAAAACUCUGGGCUUAACCCAGAGACGCCACUCGAUACUACUGUGACUAGAGUUCGGUAGGGGAGCAGGGAAUUCCUGGUGUAGCGGUGAAAUGCGCAGAUAUCAGGAGGAACACCGAUGGCGAAGGCACUGCUCUGGGCCGAAACUGACGCUGAGGAGCGAAAGCGUGGGUAGCAAACAGGAUUAGAUACCCUUGUAGUC
RNAcentral lists this ribosomal RNA (440 nucleotides) under uncultured bacterium. RNAcentral's name for it is "partial 16S ribosomal RNA". It matches the Rfam family "Bacterial small subunit ribosomal RNA", at positions 339 to 795 of the family's 1533-position model. The record is from RNAcentral.